GUCAACUACCCCAGUCUUACGACUGGGGCUUGAGAAAUCAAGCCCAAGUUGACUAGCCUCAGUCCACCCAAGGUGGACUACGUUGGUUGAGAAUAUAUAGGCACCGCCGGAUGUUAAUCCUAGUCCUGCGCACUGC
RNAcentral lists this small RNA (136 nucleotides) under uncultured Anaerobiospirillum sp. Its description in RNAcentral is "HNH endonuclease-associated RNA and ORF (HEARO) RNA". It matches the Rfam family "HNH endonuclease-associated RNA and ORF (HEARO) RNA", at positions 1 to 128 of the family's 211-position model. The record is from RNAcentral. Lineage: Bacteria; Pseudomonadati; Pseudomonadota; Gammaproteobacteria; Aeromonadales; Succinivibrionaceae.